AGAAUCAACGCUGGCGGCGUGCCUAACACAUGCAAGUCGCACGAGAAAGGGGAGCAAUCCCUGAGUACAGUGGCGCACGGGUGAGUAACACGUGAAUCAUCUACCUCCGAGUGGGGAAUAACUGAGAGAAAUCUUAGCUAAUACCGCAUAAUACCCACGGGUCAAAGCAGUAAUGCGCUUGGAGAGGAGUUCGCGGCAGAUUAGUUAGUUGGCGGGGUAAUGGCCCACCAAGACGAUGAUCUGUAUCCGG
Molecule: ribosomal RNA, 250 nt
Filed under: uncultured bacterium
Lineage: Bacteria
Description: partial small subunit ribosomal RNA
Rfam family: Bacterial small subunit ribosomal RNA
Source: RNAcentral